GAUGAAGAACGCAGCGAAAUGCGAUAACUAGUGUGAAUUGCAGAAUUCCGUGAAUCAUCGAGUCUUUGAACGCACAUUGCGCCCCCUGGUAUUCCGGGGGGCAUGCCUGUCCGAGCGUCAUUACAACCCUCAAGCUCAGCUUGGUGUUGGGCCCCGCCGCCCCGGCGGGCCCUAAAGUCAGUGGCGGUGCCGUCCGGCUCCGAGCGUAGUAAUUCUUCUCGCUCUGGAGGUCCGGUCGUGUGCUCGCCAGCAACCCCCAAUUUUUUUCAGGUUGACCUCGGAUCAGGUAGGGAUACCCGCUGAACUUAAGCAUAUCAAUAAGCGGAGGA
RNAcentral lists this unclassified non-coding RNA (329 nucleotides) under soil metagenome. RNAcentral's name for it is "partial contains 5.8S ribosomal RNA, internal transcribed spacer 2, and large subunit ribosomal RNA". The stretch from base 1 to 120 matches the Rfam family "5.8S ribosomal RNA", at positions 35 to 154 of the family's 154-position model. The record is from RNAcentral.